AAUAUUACAAAAAGGCAUCAAUAAGGACUACCACAAAUUACACAUUUUAAAAAAAAAACAAUAAAAACUUCAGCAUCCAAACAUCUGAGGGAACAUCUUCCAUAACAUCACACACAACAACUACAACUUCAUCACAACACACCUUGAAAAAAUCAGAAAUAUCCUUUGGGAUAUUAACCACAAACUCCUUUGUUUGCUAUAGGUUCUCAUGAAUAC
RNAcentral lists this long non-coding RNA (216 nucleotides) under Lathyrus oleraceus (garden pea). Its description in RNAcentral is "Pisum sativum (pea) long non-coding RNA (PSAT_LNC022505)". The record is from RNAcentral. Lineage: Eukaryota; Viridiplantae; Streptophyta; Magnoliopsida; Fabales; Fabaceae.